CCCAUGCUAUUGUCAGAAGCUGCGGUUCUUUUCAUCAGCCUGAACCUGGACCUGCCGCUAUGGAUAACUCAGGUUUUUUUUUUUUUUUUAAUCAACUGCCAUCUUUUCCACUGUUUAGAAACUCUUAAGAUUAAACUUUAGUAAAGUUGUUUUAGUUAUCCAUGUAAUCAGGCUGAGGAUACUUAGCUGCCUAUUUAGGCAAAUGUCAGAAUUUAGUUUGUUCGCUGGGAACUGGUGUGGACUGGCAAAGGAUGAUGAGAUAGUUUUUUGAGUGAGUAAAUUUUGGGAGCUUGAGUGUAUUGGGAUUUGCAAUUACAAUCAUCGUCUGCCUCAGGUGAUUUCUUCUCCUGCUCUGUCAUUGUUUGUUCUCUAAUUCAAAAGCAUAAAAUAUUUCAAUCAAUUUUUAUGCCAGGAAUAUGCAAAAGUUUCUAAUAUUUUAUUUCCAUCUGUUACAAGAUCAAACUGAAGCAGAACUCAAACAAAAGUAUGCUACUUCUUGCGGAAAUCUUGCCUUUGUUCAGAUUAUGAAACCAUUUCCAUGCAGCAAAUUCAUCCAAAAGUUUGAAUAAGUUUCAUGGUUGGACACUGUUGGCUUCUUUUUCUUCUGGGGUGCAUUUAGGUGCUAUCAAGUGACAGCUGUAAGUAUGAUUGCACUAAGCUGCCGCUGGGAAAUUUGAGGUUUUGAUGGCUGCCCAUGUUAUUUUCAAGAAACUAUUGAUGUAAGAAGCUGUGGUUCUUUUCAUCAGCUUGAACCUGAAACUGUCGCUAUGGAUAACUCAGGUUUUUGUUAUCAACUAUAUCAUCUUUUUCACUAUUUUGAAACUCUUAAGAUUAAACUUUAGUAAAGUUGUUUCAGCUAUUCAAAUGAAAAACUCAUUGAUUUGAGACUUCCUUCAUUAUUGUUUCUAAUUACAAUGCUAACGAUCCAGAUAAAAUAAUAUUUAAUCGGCGAAGGUGUCCCUUGGAAGUACAUCCUUCUUUUUCUUUUAUUAUAUAAAUUCUUGCAAUGAGCUUAGUGAAGCUGUUGUGCUAAUCAUGCCACUGCAUAAUUUGGCCCCUAAUGUGGGUACUCUGUUACAUUGUUCUGCAAAUUCUCCAGAAGUUAAAAUCAAUAAAUUUUCUAUUAGCUCUAGUGCUUUGACCUAAAUGCCAUUCUAUAUUUUGAUUACAAUGUUUUAACCUUUAAAUUAACUACCCCUAGAUGUUGGAUUUUCUAGAACUUCAAAAUGAUUAAUGGAGAAAGAUCCCAUUAUCGUUAUUGCUAUAAGAAAUUGAUUUAUGCAUCCAAAGAUACAUUAUAUAUUUCUGUGUCUCUAUUUGUAGAUGACAUUUAAGCAUCCAUAAACCGUCAGACAGAGGAAGGGGGUUCAGUGCAAAGAUUCUGUUGACCUAGGGUUGACUGCAUAAUGUCACUUGUUCGCAAUCUAUUAUUUAUUUUAUAUUUUGAAGAAUUUAAUGGGUAAUCCUAAUUGUUUGUUUUGGCAGGUAUGUGUUGUUAUCUCCUUCUAUCUAACAGUCGUACCUAAAUAGCAUAGUUUCAUCUGUGUUACCAUGUGAUGUACAUAAUUUCACAUUUGCCUCAGAUUAAGCUUAAUUUCCCACAGAAUAGAGCUGUCGCGACUGGACUUAGGUUGAUGUCCAAAGAGGUAAAUUAUUGGCAUGCCUAGAUAAUUUGGCCAUUUCCUAAUUCAUAAGUCUACAUUAAUUUUGAUUUUGAGUUGACUGAUUUCUUUUCAAGGUCUGCUUCCUUAACGGAGUGACCAAUGUUUUUCAACUAAAUUUAUCAUAUGAUGCAGGAAGCAGGGCAGGAUAUGAAAUGAGAAGCUCAUUGGUGGAAGUAUUGCCAGUAACAGAACCCAAAGAAAAUGAAACUAUUUCAAGGCAGCAGUUGGCAGUUGCAAGUGAAUGGAGGCCCUGACAAAAUUCUCAAGCGGUUGCAAUGCAAUUACGAUCAUCCUCAGCCUCAGGUAAUUUCUUCUCCUGCUCUGUUUUUAUUUGUUAUCUAAUUAAAAAGCAUAAAGUAUCUUGAAUCACUUUCUGUAUCUGGAACAUAUGCAGCAGUUUCUAAAAUCUUCAUAUGAGUGUAAUGAUGGUAAUUUCUGUUUUUUGUCUGUCAUUGAAUGUUAGACAACUUUCAGUGAGACUCUUGAACCGAGACAUUUUUGACAAAUGAAGGACAAUUGCUGAAGAGUGGGAAUGGUGCUAGAUUGGGGAAUAAAGACAAAGGAGGUAAAUUAUUUGCAGUUUAUUCAGCAUUAUUUGCUUUGGACCAGCGCCUGAUUCACAAGUCUCCAUAAUUUGGCUUUUGACCAGUUGUUAAUAAAUUUUUUAUUCCAUUGGUGCUAAAUGUACACGUGAAGCAGGCAGAGCAGGACUGUGGAAAUGAGAAGGUUUUUAGUGAAAGCUUAAACUCAGGUAAUUCUAAAAAGUACAUGUUUUUGCUGAUUUAUCUAAAUCAGGAAAUUUUAUUUCCAUCUGUUACAAGAUAAAACAGAAACAGAACACAAAGAAAAAUAUUCUACUUCUUGUGGCAAUCUUGCCUUCAUUCAGACAAUGAAACCAUUUCCUUUCACCAAUUUCUUCCAAAAGUUUGAAUAAGUUUCAUGGUUGGACAUAGUUAGCUUCUUUUUCUUUUGGUGCAUUUAGGUCCUAUCAAGUGACAGCCAUAAGUAUGAUUGCAUUAUUGGGAAAUUUUAGGUUUUGAUGGCUCCCCACGUUAUUGCCAAGAAAGUCCUCAUGUCAAAAGCUGCGGUUCUUUUCAUCAGCCUGAACCCGAACCUGUCGUUAUGGAUAACUCAGGUUUUUGUCAUCAACUAUAUCAUCUUUUUUACUGUUUUGAAACUCUUAAGAUUAAACUUCAGUAAAGUUGUUUCAGUUAUCCAUGUAAUCAGGCCAAGGAUAUUUAGCAGCUUAUUUAGGCAACUGCCAGAAUUCAGUUUGUUUGCUCGAAACUUGUAUGGUGACAAGGAUACUGGCAAGGAUAGUGAGAUAGUUUUUUGUGUGAGUGAAAUUUGAAAGCUUGGGUGUUCUGGGAUUUGCAAUUGCAAUCAUCCUCUGAGUCAGGUGAUUUCUUCUCCUGCUCUGUCUUGAUUUUCUCUCUAAUUGAAAGCAUAAAGUAUUUCAAUCAAAUUCUGUACCAGGAGUACAUAAAAGUUACUAAUAUUUUAUUUCCAUCUGUUUGCAUUGAUAACUCGGCAUAUGUUCUAGUUAAAGAACAAACAGAAACAGAGUUCAGGAAAAAGUUUCUUCGGCCACCAUAUUUGAAAAUGAAACCAUUUCCAGGAAGCAGUUGGCAGCAAAUUCAUAUGGAGUGUAGACAAUGAUGAGCAAAAAGGUGAUUCGCAAUUUCUUUUUUUUUUAAGUGAAAUUAUUUGUUAGAUUGAAGCUGAUAUUGUAAGAAGGCCAUUGAGCUAACCUAUGUCGUCACUUGCCUAGAUUGCAGGGGGUCAAGACUCAAAAGAAGCACUGAAAUUUAAAAAGCAUGGAAUAGUUCUUUUGCCAUGUGUCAAUUAAUGCAAGUUUGAAUAAGUUUAUUGGCUGAACGAUGUUAGCUUCUUUUCCUUUCGUGCACUUUGGUAUGCUAUCAAGUGACAGCCGUAUGUAUGGCUUGCAUAUAGCUGCUGCUGGGAAAAUUGACGAUUUCAUGGCUGGCCGUGUUAUUGUCUUAAAUUAGUUGUGAUAAGCUGUUGCUUGGAGAUUCUGUUGCCAAGACUUUGCUCACAUCAGAAGCUGUGGAAUCUGAACCCUUCGUUAUGUAUCAUCUUUUUCAUUGUUUUAAAACUCUCAGGAUUAAACUUGAGCGAAUUUGUUCGGUUGUCUAUAUAAUCAUGUAUUGAGUAAACUCUCAGGAUACUGAGGGUGAGAGAAAUUAGAGGGUGUAUAGGGAUUUGGAUUUGUUAGGAAGUUAUCAUUUUUAUUUUUAUUUUUAUUUUUUUCCCAGAAAAUCUUCUGGUGGUGCUAUAUUUUCAAACGACAGUCCGAUUCAAAACUUGAUAUUCCAAUUAUAUUCAUAAGCUUCUACAGUUAUCUUCAAAAAGACAAAUGGAAGGCUUUGAACGGCUUGGGUCUGAGUAUUGUAGUUUGAUUUAUUUUGAUGAAAGUACCUUUUGACAUUGAGAUUCUUUCAUGAGUUAAACAUUCUUUUUAAAACCAACUUAUUAAAAAAAAAAAGUAACUAACAUAUAUUAUUUUGUUAGUGCUUUUUAAAUCAAAUAUAAAAAAGAGAACUGUAAUUCUUAGCAACCAAUUUUUCACUGAGUACACCUACAACAAACUAUUAAAAAAUAAAGUGAUAGAAAAUGCCUGAUUUUUCGUACUUUCUAAUUACUUUUGGUCCUAAAAUAUGGCAAUUUGUGUAAUAAUAAGCCCAUGUAUAUCUUUAUGCCAUUAGUUUGAUAAAUAGCUAUCAAGGAUAACUUAUUAAGCUAAAAAUAUUUGAAGGAUAAAUUGAUUUAUGCAUCCAAAGAUACAUUAUAUAUUUCUGUGUCUCUAUUUAUAGAUGACAUUUAAGCAUCCAUAAACCGUCAGACAGAGGAAGGGGGUUCAGUGCAAAGAUUCUGUUGACCUAGGGUUGACUGCAUAAUGUCACUUGUUCGCAAUCUAUUAUUUAUUUUAUAUUUUGAAGAAUUUAAUGGGUAAUCCUAAUUGUUUGUUUUGGCAGGUAUGUGUUGUUAUCUCCUUCUAUCUAACAGUCGUACCUAAAUAGCAUAGUUUCAUCUGUGUUACCAUGUGAUGUACAUAAUUUCACAUUUGCCUCAGAUUAAGCUUAAUUUCCCACAGAAUAGAGCUGUCGUGACUGGACUUAGGUUGAUGUCCAAAGAGGUAAAUUAUUGGCAUGCCUAGAUAAUUUGGCCAUUUCCUAAUUCAUAAGUCUACAUUAAUUUUGAUUUUGAGUUGACUGAUUUCUUUUCAAGGUCUGCUUCCUUAACGGAGUGACCAAUGUUUUUCAACUAAAUUUAUCAUAUGAUGCAGGAAGCAGGGCAGGAUAUGAAAUGAGAUCUCAUUGGUGGAAGUAUUGCCAGUAGCAGAACCCAAUGAAAAUGAAACUAUUUCAAGGCAGCAGUUGGCAGUUGCAAGUGAAUGGAGGCCCUUGACAAAAUUCUCAAGCGGUUGCAAUGAUGGUAAUUUCUUCUCCUGCUUUGUAUUUAUUUGUUAUCUAAUUAGGAAGCGUGAAGUAUCUUGAAUCAUUUUCUGUAUCUGGAAUAUAUGCAAGAGUUUCUAAAAUUUUGAUAUGAGUGUAAUGAUGGUAAUUUCUGUUUUCUGUCUGUCAUCAAAUGUUAGAAAACUUUCAUUGAGACCCUUGAACCGAGUCAUUUUUGACAAGUGAAGGACAAUUGCUGAAGAGUGGGAAUGGUGCUAGAUUGGGGAAUAAAGACAAAGGAGGUAAAUUAUUUGCAGUUUAUUCAGCAUUAUUUGCUUUGGACCACCGCCUGAUUCACAAGUCUCCAUAAUUUGGCUUUUGACCAGUUAAUAAAUUUUUAAUUCCAUUGGUGCUAAAUGUACACGUGAAGCAGGCAGAGCAGGACUGUGGAAAUGAGAAGGUUUUUAGUGAAAGCUUAAACUCAGGUAAUUCUAAAAAGUACAUGUUUUUGCUGAUUUAUCUAAAUCAGGAAAUUUUAUUUCCAUCUGUUACAAGAUAAAACAGAAACAGAACACAAAGAAAAAUAUUCUACUUCUUGUGGCAAUCUUGCCUUCAUUCAGACAAUGAAACCAUUUCCUUUCACCAAUUUCUUCCAAAAGUUUGAAUAAGUUUCAUGGUUGGACAUAGUUAGCUUCUUUUUCUUUUUGGUGCAUUUAGGUCCUAUCAAGUGACAGCCAUAAGUAUGAUUGCAUUAUUGGGAAAUUUUAGGUUUGGAUGGCUCCCCAUGUUAUUGCCAAGAAAGUCCUCAUGUCAGAAGCUGCGGUUCUUUUCAUCAGCCUGAACCCGAACCUGUCGUUAUGGAUAACUCAGGUUUUUGUCAUCAACUAUAUCAUCUUUUUUACUGUUUUGAAACUCUUAAGAUUAAACUUCAGUAAAGUUGUUUCAGUUAUCCAUGUAAUCAGGCUAAGGAUAUUUAGCAGCUUAUUUAGGCAACUGCCAGAAUUCAGUUUGUUUGCUCGAAACUUGUAUGGUGACAAGGAUACUGGCAAGGAUAGUGAGAUAGUUUUUUGUGUGAGUGAAAUUUGAAAGCUUGGGUGUUCUGGGAUUUGCAAUUGCAAUCAUCCUCUGAGUCAGGUGAUUUCUUCUCCUGCUCUGUCUUGAUUUUCUCUCUAAUUGAAAGCAUAAAGUAUUUCAAUCAAAUUCUGUACCAGGAAUACGUAAAAGUUACUAAUAUUUUAUUUCCAUCUGUUUGCAUUGAUAACUCGGCGGCAUAUGUUCUAGUUAAAGAACAAACAGAAACAGAGUUCAGGAAAAAGUUUCUUCGGCCACCAUAUUUGAAAAUGAAACCAUUUCCAGGAAGCAGUUGGCAGCAAAUUCAUAUGGAGUGUAGACAAUGAUGAGCGAAAAGGUGAUACGCAAUUUCUUUUUUUUUUUUUUUAAGUGAAAUUAUUUGUUAGAUUGAAGCUGAUAUUGUAAGAAGGCCAUUGAGCUAACCUAUGUCGCCACUUGCCUAGAUUGCAGGGGGUCAAGACUCAAAAGAAGCACUGAAAUUUAAAAAAGCAUGCAAUAGUUCUUUUGCCAUGUGUCAAUUAAUGCAAGUUUGAAUAAGUUUAUUGGCUGAACGAUGUUAGCUUCUUUUCCUUUCGUGCACUUUGGUAUGCUAUCAAGUGACAGCCGUAUGUAUGGCUUGCGUAUAGCUGCUGCUGGGAAAAUUGACGAUUUCAUGGCUGGCCGUGUUAUUGUCUUAAAUUAGUUGUGAUAAGCUGUUGCUUGGAGAUUCUGUUGCCAAGACUUUGCUCACAUCAGAAGCUGUGGAAUCUGAACCCUUCGUUAUGUAUCAUCUUUUUCAUUGUUUUAAAACUCUCAGGAUUAAACUUGAGCGAAUUUGUUCGGUUGUCUAUAUAAUCAUGUAUUGAGUAACCUCUCAGGAUACUGAGCAGGCAAAUGUUAUAACUCGGUUUGUUAGCCAAAAACUUGUUGAAGAUUCUUGACAAAGCUGCAUCAAGUGAAUUGUCGGAGCUCUGAGGGUGAGAGAAAUUAGAGGGUGUAUAGGGAUUUGGAUUUGUUAGGAAGUUAUCAUUUUUAUUUUUAUUUUUAUUUUUUUCACAGAAAAUCUUCUGGUGGUGCUAUAUUUUCAAACGACAGUCCGAUUCAAAACUUGAUAUUCCAAUUAUAUUCAUAAGCUUCUACAGUUAUCUUCAAAAAGACAAAUGGAAGGCUUUGAACGGCUUGGGUCUGAGUAUUGUAGUUUGAUUUAUUUUGAUGAAAGUACCUUUUGACAUUGAGAUUCUUUCAUGAGUUAAACAUUCUUUUUAAAACCAACUUAUUAAAAAAAAAAAGUAACUAACAUAUAUUAUUUUGUUAGUGCUUUUUAAAUCAAAUAUAAAAAAGAGAACUGUAAUUCUUAGCAACCAAUUUUUCACUGAGUACACCUACAACAAACUAUUAAAAAAUAAAGUGAUAGAAAAUGCCUGAUUUUUCGUACUUUCUAAUUACUUUUGGUCCUAAAAUAUGGCGAUUUGUGUAAUAAUAAGCCCAUGUAUAUCUUUAUGCCAUUAGUUUGAUAAAUAGCUAUCAAGGAUAACUUAUUAAGCUAAAAAUAUUUGAAGGAUAAAAUGGUAAAACUAAAAGGGUGGAGUAAUAUAGUUAUUUAAGAUUACAUAGUAAGUCAACUAUAUUCGAGGGAUAAAAUAUUAAAACUUGAAUAGUGAUAUUAAAAAUAUCUCAGCUAUUAUACUAUUAAACCAUAUGCCGUAAUAAUAUUUUUUUUCAAACUUUAAAAAAUUCAGGAUUUUAAAUUAAAACAUGGAUUUCUUUAAGAUGCUAUAUGUGUUUUUACAGUAUUGAUAGUGGGAUUAGUGUGGACCUUUAGAUGAAAGAGUUUUAAUCUGAAUCAUUCAUUUAAUAUAAUAGAUAAUUAAAUAAUUAAUUAAAAUAUAUCAGGUAACUUAUAGGUUGCAGGUAAAAAAUUAAUUUUUUAAUUUUAAAUUAAAAUUAAUUUGGAACAAAACCAUCCACACCCCUAAGGUUUACUUAAAUGAUCAUAUAAAUCCCUUUAGUUUCUACAUAGUUAUACAAACCCUCUUAAUUUCAUAAAUUAUUAUUAUACUUUUAAUUAAAACAACCUAAAUGAAUAUAAAUAUAGUAAUAGGAUAGAAAUAAUAAAUAAAUAUCAGAUGAAACAAAUAAAAUAUUACAAUAAAUACAAUUAAUUAAAUAACAUGUAGGAUGAAAAUUUUAUUCAUAUUAAGUUAUUAUUAGUCGAUCUCGAUGGAUUUACUCAAAUUAAUUAAUCCAAAAUUUAAUUUUAAGAUUGAUAUUAAUAUGGACAUAAUUAAAUAAGAUGUUGUAAUAUAUAUUACUUUGAAUGUUAAGUAUAAUUAUCUAAUAUUAUUAGUAUGUGAAAUAGAUUUUAAUAUUAUUAAAAGAAUAUGACAAUAUAUAAUUUUGACAUAAAUUUUUUAGUAUUCAUAAUAUUUUAUAAAUUUUAUCUUAUUUUAUAUAUUAUAUUUUUUAAUUUUAAUGUAUUAUAUAUGAUCAUUUAAGCAAAUUUUGGAGGUGCGGUGGUCUUUUCCCUAUUAAUUUUGUAGCAUAUUUAAAGUGUUAUAUCAUACAUCAUACAUCGCACUUUUGUUAAAGUAUUAUGUUAUUAAAAAUUAAACUUUGCAUUUAUAAUAUACUACCAUUUUAAUGUAAAUGUAACAAAAAAUAUGAAGAUAUUUUUAAGUAGUCAAUUGUAGCUUUCUAUUACAAAAUAGCAGUAUAGAAAUACAAUUGGUAAAAUGUAAUAAAAAUGGUAUGGAAAAAAGUUAGUAGAGGCAAUUAUUUUUGUAGUUGCUAAAACAUAUGAAGUGACACACACACACACACACACACACAUCAAGUACUUGUAUGUUCCCCUAACUUUUAUUAAUAGGAAGGAAAUUAAAUUCGUAAUUUUCCCGGUGAAUUAUGAAUUGAUAAAUGAAAUAUAAAUAUUAGUAAAAAUUAAUUUGUCGACUAAAGAAGUAAACCAUAUUUUAUGGGCAUUUAAUACAUUACUUUAAGGUCAAAUGAGAUAUAUCACAUGAUAUUUGAUACAGUAGUCCAAUUUUCAACAUUUGCAUAUAGUUUCUAAGCUAGUAAUCUAAUAAAAUAUACCAAAUGAGAAAUUCAAGGCUAUUAUUUAUAUUUCACAAUUGGACAAACACCAUACAUUAGAAUAAAAAAAUCUCACAGUACAGACGACAUCUGUUUGCAUGUUUUGAAAAUAGAUUUUGAAAAUAGUUUAAUUACAUGAUAAUUAAAUUAUAUUAUAAAACUAAGAAUAUGAUUUAAGUACUAUUUUAGCAAUUUUGAGUCUCACAUUGAGUAUUCAAGUUAAUUAAAUGUUGAAACUCUUUUCUAUUUGGCUUGAAAUCACUACUUAAUUAAAUUACAAAAAGUCGAUAAUGAAUGAUGUAGGACACAUAUGUAAAAUAAAUUUUAAAGUGUAAUUAAACAUUCCUAUCAAUAUUAGUUUCGUAUACAUGUUCAUAUAUUUUAUUGAAACCAUAUAUAAUUAAAUUUUGUGUAAUUAAGUAAAAUAUAUUAUUCAAGUGAAUUUAUGAGAAUAUUUAAAAUUAUAGGGGUGGUCACUGAAAUUUGCCAAACUUGAGCCAACCGUGCAUGAUCCAAACAAUUUAUUUUAAUAAUUCUCAAUAUGUUAGUCUGUUUGACUGUUGGCAAAAUAAAUUCCUAUCAGCAAUGCAACACAAUUCAAAAUCAUAUCUGCAUACAACGAACAAUAUCUCAUCAAAGAUCAAAUUAUACAUUUUUUACACCAAAGCAUAAAUAUCUAAAUUAUCCCUCUUCAACUCACCAAGCUCAUACCUAACAACAGCAAGAUUAAAUGUCAUUUGAUCCAUCUUUUUUAGUAAGCUUUAUCAAUUCUUCUCAUGGUUGCAAUUUUGAAAGCUCGCUUCGCUAUUUCCAUUUGCUUUUAUGCUUUGUUUGAGCUCCAUCUUUUCUCUCCAUCUACAUUUUACACUGUAAAAAAAAUUUUAAAAAAAUUACAAAGCUUCUUAUACUAGAAUAUGAGCAACAAUAUAAAUAAUAAACAAUAAAGUUAUGAUAGCACAACAUACUCAUUAAAGUGCUUCUUUUUUUUUUUCAACAAGAAAUUACUACUGAAUUAAAGAAUUGGCUUUGCAUUAAGGUUUGCCUUCAAUAACUCAACUCCCCACUUGGGUUUUGUCGUUUUCUUAAAAUCUCUGCUCAAUCAAUUUAAAGAUCCAUUUUUUUUUUCUUUCCAAAGAUCUAAAAGCAAUGUCUUUUAUUGGUACCCAACAAAAAUGCAAGGUCUGUGAGAAGACAGUUUGUCCAGUUGAGCAGUUAUCUGCUGAUGGGGUUGUUUAUCACAAGUCUUGCUUCAAGUGCUAUCACGGCAAAGGCACACUCAAGCUAAGCAAUUACUCAUCCCUGGAAGGUGUUCUUUACUGUAAGCCUCACUUUGAGCAGCUUUUGAAGGAGUCGAGUAACUUCAACCAGAAUUUCCAAUUACCUGCAAAGUCAGCUGAGAAGUUAACUCCUGAGCUGAGAAGGUCGCCUAGCAAAGUUGCCAGCAUGUUCUCUGGGCCCAAUAAAAAUGUGCUUCUUGCAGUAAAACAGUGUGUCCGUGGGAGAAGGUAGCAGUGGAAAACCAAGCCUCUCACAAGACAUGUUUCAAGUGCUCACAUGGUGGUUAUUCCAUUAGCCCGUCAAAUUACGCAGCCCUAGAAGGCAUCUUGUAUUGCAAACAUAAUUUCUCCCAAUUGUUCAAGGAAAAAGGCAGCUACAACCACCUUAUAUCAAAUCUGCUCCCAUGAAGCGUGCUGCAGUCUCUGUUCAAGAAGCUUGAACACGUUAUGUUAUCUUCCAUAAAUCUUAUUUGGCGUGGGUUUUCUCUGGCUUGAGGGUGUGCUUUCUAUUUUGAUCCCUCUUGUUGUUUUUGCGGGGAACUACCAAACCUUCGGUUCCCUCUGCUUCUUUGGAUCAUCUUUGUUUGGACAAAUUUCAUGUAAUUAGAGAUACCGAUUUAUGGGAGGCAUAAUCCCAUGGUCGUAAAUUGACCAUUUUCUGGCAAUGUUCUUUUUAAAAAGAGAUGAGCAGUUGUUUAAAAAAAAAAAAAAUUGCUUGCCUUCAUCAUUGUAUAUUACCAAACUGCUAUGUAUAGCUGCUAACUAUGAGCAUCCGAAAAUAUGGUGCAUCGUGAUUCAUGUAGUGCAAUAUGGCUACCAACGCAUCCUAAAUGGAGUAUUACUCAGUUAGUCAGCAAAAUAAGACAACAUAACUGAUAUUAAAAAAAAAAAAAAACUACAUUAAUAAGUGGGCAAGAUCAUGCCAGUUUAACUUUUCGCGCGUCGCUGCUGGAGAUGAUCAAAUCGGGGCAUAGAAAAGGAGAAUGGAAUCAGAGGCUAAGAUUAAUAAGUGGGCUUCUGCUUGCUUUGCCCUCUUUCUUAAACGAUUGGUAGACUGCUGCUUCCGCCGAUUAACCGGGUCUUCAACCACUGCUUUUACUGCCUGCCAUCUUGUUGUUUGUCGAAGGGAUGAAUUCGAGUCGAAAAGAGAAAGCGCGCUGAAAAAGAUAAAUCACUAGUGGUUAACUGCUGACUCAGCCAAGUGUUGGCUUCACUUGAUUCACCGAUUGAGGUUAUUUUGUCUUCUAUCUAAUGCAGCGAAGAAGCUUUGCUGCUUAACAUGCUGCAAUGCAACUUUAUCCUUUGAAGUUCACACUCCAGGGCUGCGCACUUUAUGUAAUCCUAUGAGUAAAAAGAAUUUGUUUUCAAAUGUGAAAAAAGAAAAUGUAAGGUAGUAACUAAAUAUAUUAUAGCAUCAAAGCAAGAUUUGAUAUGAAUUUAGUACAACAAAGAACAUCAAAUCUGUGAUUCCUUGUCUAAUGUCACCAUCGAGCAACAAAUUUAAAAGCCUACCUAUCAAAUACACGAGGCAAUAAACGGAGAAAAAGUUGAAUUACAAGAACAAGUUUACAAUUCUUGUCAAUGGUUAAUGAUUUGUGAACUGAGAUAUCAUUCAAGAAUCCAAUUUCAAUACAACAACCUAAAAGAUAAACAGAUGAUGAAUUUUAUGAGAUAAAAAAGGAGAUCGUGUUUUAUCGUAUCUCUAUUUUCUUUCUUUUUAAAUUUAUGAGAUAAAGCGGUUGGUCCAGUUACGGUGUUAUGCUAACGGGUUUAAAGGUUCCGAUCCAAUGAGUUAGGGUGGAAUAUGAAUAUAUAAAUUCCAUAGCAUGUAAGGACUAGGAUUUGUUUGUUCAUAUCAAGAAAAAAAAUCUGAAAAUUUGAUGAUCAGAAGAUAAAAACACUUAAACACGUUUAAGUAUCAAUAAAUACUUGCUGCUGUAGUUUGAAAAUAAAAUGAGUUUAUCUUGUUGCUGUUUGAUAAAAAUUUAUACUAUUUUUAUUAAUUUUGUCAAAAUCAAUAUUUAGACAUUAUAUUUACCAAGCAUUAUCAUUUUUUUAAUCUCAUAAUUAAUUAAAAUUUUCAUUUCAUUCAAUACAGUAAUUAAUUAGAAUUGUAGCAUAAGCCCAUUUUAAUUUUCUUUCUUUAGGCUAUAUACGCUACUUAUAAGAAAAACUUAUGGACCAUUGACCUAGGCUUAUACAAUAAGCCAAUUUAGAAAUUGUAGACUCACUCUAUGGAUUACUCAUGAGUUGUGGAUGAUGAGUUCUUCACUAACGAAGUGCAUUGGAUAUCAUAUAACGUAAAAACACACAUUGUCAUUAGUCUAUUGCAAGCAUUCCCAUUUGGCACCGAAUCUUUCUCAUUAGCCUAUUGCAAGCGAUCCCAGCCACUUGGAAUCAAAAUUUAGUGAAUUUACAUAUGUUGUCUCGAAGUGGUGUCUCUUAUGGUUGGGUGUUUUUAUAAAUUUCUUAAUUGCUUCGAAUACCAUGGCUGAUGCAACCGUUUCUACUAUCUUGGAGCAGCUGAUUUCCUUCGCUGCUGAAGAGAUAAAACAACAGGUGAUCGAAGUUGCACCCCUCAUAUUACAAAUGCUUCCAAUGAUUUUAAUUGGUUUUGUUUUUAUCAAAAACAUUAUAUAUUUUUUCUUUAUUUUAUUUAUCUGGUAAUUUUAGAUUUUGAAAUUUGAAUUGAAUUUAAUUAAAAGGUGAUGUAGUAACCACUUAUUUUUAUUUUUUUUUAUUUAUAUUCUCAAUAACUACUCAUAGUUUGGUAACUUACUAUAACUUCCAUAUCUAAGAAAUGAUCCAAACCCACAAUUUUAACUCAAGUUUGUCAAACAGUCAUUAAUUCAAUGUUUAGUAAAAAAAACACUUCUCAGCACAGAAUUCCAUGUCCAUUACUUAGACUCUAUGAAAAAUUUCAUAAUUUUCUUACAUUCUUUGAGUUUGGUAAGUGAUUUCAUAUAUUUUCUAUUCAAUAUAAAUUUUAAUUUGUUUUCUUAUAUACUCUCUUUGCUGAAUUUGUAUCUUUUAUGAUUCUUAGAUUUUGGGCUCUAACUUUUUAGGAUUUGAUAGUCACAUUUUAUGCCAUGCUUAGAUUGAUUUUCAUGAUUUUUACUACCCGUUAAGUGACUUAGAAUUUGACAAAAGUUUGAAAGGAAAUCUGCUUCAGGAUUCUGUUUUAAUUGACCCUUUAGUGGAAAUAAAAUGCUUAUAACUUAAUGUGGAUGCUAUGUAAAAUCAUGAAAUUUGGAUAGAAUUAACUAGAAAUAUGUACAAGACUCUCCAUGAAGUCUCAUAAUUUUUCAUUCGGUCUGGGGUGUUACAGGUGAAGCUUGUGGUUGGUGUCGAAAAAGAAGUGAAAAGCCUUACCAGCCACCUUCAAGCCAUUCAAGCUGUGCUCGAUGAUGCAGAGGAAAAGCAAGUGAAGGACAAAGCUGUUAGACAUUGGCUGGGUAGGCUCAAGUAUGCAUCCUACGACAUUGAAGAUGUGUUGGAUGAGUGGAUCACAGGAAGACGCAAAUUGCAAAUUGAGGGUGGCAUUGGUGAAAAUGCUCUUAUUGCUCCUCAUAAGAAAAAGAAGGUACGUUUCUGCUUUCGUGCCUCUUGUCUUGGAUUCAAAACAGAAGAAUUUGGCUUCAAACAAGUCUUUCUACGUCAUGACAUUGCCAACAAGAUCAAAGAAAUGAAUGAAGAGCUACAUGAUAUUGCUACUCAAAAAGACAUGUUUAAUCUUGUUAAGAGUGGCAAUAACAGUAGUGAAAGACCAAGGCGUGUACAGAGUACCUCCUUGAUUGAUGAGGAAGAGAUUUGUGGUAGAGUUGGUGAGAAGAAUGAACUCAUAAGCAAGCUGUUGUGUGAGAGUAGCGAGCAACAAAAAGGCCUCCAUAUCAUCUCAAUUGUUGGUAUGGGAGGCAUAGGGAAAACUACUCUUGCACAACUAGCUUGUAAUCAUGACGAGGUGAAGAGAAAGUUCGACAAAAUUCUGUGGGUGUGUGUAUCAGAAACUUUUGAGGAGUUUAGGGUUGCCAAAGCAAUCGUUGAAGCUUUGGAUGGUCGUGAAUCUCAUUUAGGUGAAUUCCAAUCUCUUCUUCAACAUAUUGAUGAAUCCAUUGCAGGGAAGACCUUUCUUCUUGUCUUAGAUGACGUGUGGGAUGGAAAUUACUUGAAAUGGGAACCAUUCUACCGUUGUCUAAAGAAUGGUCUCCAUGGAAGUAAAAUUAUAGUUACCACACGUAGUGGGUCCGUUGCAUCCAUGAUGGGAUCCAUAGAUAUUAUUCCCAUUAAGGAAUUAGCUGAAGAGGAAUGUUGGUUGUUGUUUAACAAGAUAGCAUUUUUUGGUAGGCCUAUUGAGGAACGUGAAAAAUUAGAACAAAUUGGGCAAAGAAUUGCAGGCAAGUGCAAAGGUUUACCUCUUGCAGCAAAGACAAUAGGGAGUCUCAUGCGUUCUAAACAAACUGAAGAAGAGUGGAAAAGAAUUUUAAAUAGUGAUUUAUGGAAAGUAGAAGAGAUUGAGAAAGAUGUUUUGUCCUCUUUAUUGUUGAGUUAUAAUGAUUUGCCAUCUAGAGUAAAAAGAUGUUUUUCAUAUUGUGCUGUCUUUCCAAAAGACUACAAUAUAAAAAAAGACGAACUAAUCACAUUAUGGAUGGCUCAAGGUUAUCUUAGUGCAGAAGCAGCAGAACAAGAUGAGGAGUUGGAGACUAUAGGUGAAGAGUAUUUUGGCAUCUUAGCUUCUCGCUCUUUCUUUCAAGAGUUUGAGAAAAGUUAUGAUAAUCGUAUUAUAGAGUGCAAGAUGCAUGAUAUGGUACAUGAUUUUGCCCGCUUUGUAAGUCAAAAUGAAUGUUUUUCGAUGGCAAUUAAUGGUAGUGAAGAACCAAACGCCACAAACGCUCUUGAUGAGAAGGUCCGUCAUUUAAUGUUAAUAUUUAGUAAAGCGGCUUCAUUACCUAUUUCCACUCUUAGAGUUAAAAGAAUGCGUACCCUCUUAAUUAACGAUCAUUCAUUAUUAAAUGCUGCGAUCCUAGAAGAAUUAUUUAGGGAAUUGACAAGUUUAAGGGCAUUAGAUUUUGGCGGAUCGUACCACUCAACGCGGUUGUUGACUCCGGAGGUUCCGAGAAACAUAGAAAAGCUGGUACUACCGGAGACAUUGUGUGAGUUAUAUAAUCUAGAAAAGUUAGAUAUUAGUGAUUGUUUUAAUCUUAAAGAAUUACCUGAAGGGAUUGGGAAGUUAAUAAACGUGAAGCAUUUACUAAAUAGAGGUACUAAUUCUUUAAGGUACAUGCCAGUAGGGAUUGGGAGAUUAACAGGUCUUAGGACCUUGGGUGAGUUCCACGUGAGUGCAGGAGGAGGUGUUGAUGGUAGGAAAGCAUGUAGGCUUGAAUCUCUUAAAAACUUGGAACACCUUCAAGUAUGUGGUAUAAGUAGACUGGGUGAUGUAUCAGAUGUGGGCGAGGCUAAGCGAUUAGAACUUGACAAAAAGAAAUACCUCUCCAGUUUGACCCUUUGGUUUGAUAAGGAGGAGGAAGAAGAAGGAGAAAGAAGGAAGAACGAGGACAAUCAACUUCUUCUUGAAGCCCUGCGACCACCUCUCAAUUUAAAGGAAUUAGAGAUUGAGUACUACCGAGGCAACACUGUUUUCCCCAGCUGGAUGACGUCAUUAACCAACUUGAAGAGUUUAGAUCUCUCUUCCUGCGAAAAUUGCGAGCAGCUGCCUCCUUUGGGAAAAUUGCAGUCCCUUGAAAAUCUCCACAUAUGGCGCAUGGAGAGUGUGAAGAGAGUGGGUGAUGAAUUUUUGGGGAUAGAAAGUGAUCAUCAUGGCUCAUCUUCAUCUUCAUCGGUUAUUAUUGCCUUCCCCAAAUUGAAAUCACUUUCAAUUGAGGUUCUGCGCGAAUUGGAGGAGUGGGAUUAUGGGAUUACAAGAACGGGAAACACCGUCAUCAACAUCAUGCCACGUCUUUCUUCAUUGACAAUUAAUUACUGCUCCAAAUUAAAGGCACUGCCCGACCACUUUCAUCAAACGACAACAUUGAAGGAAUUGCACAUUUGGAAGUGCAGGCUUCUGGAAGAACGUUAUUGCAAUGGGGAAGGAGAAGACUGGUCUAAGAUAUCACACAUUCCCAACCUCCAUAUUGGGCUUUGACAAGUAAUUUCUUCUCUUACUCUGAUUUGCUUUGUUGUUGUUUUUAAUCUAAUUAAGAAGCGUAAAUAGCAUUUUGAAUCAAACUCUAUAUCAGAAAUCUGCAAUACUUACUUUCUAAUAUUCUGAUUUUCAUAUCCUAUGAAUAUACGAUUUUUAAUUUGUGAGAUGGGUAACGUUACUGUAAAAGAUUAUUAAUGCAAUAUGAGUAAUUCUUUUGCAGGACAAGUGACCUACAUUUAGUUUGGCUUUGGAGUUGAAUAAUAACCUUUCGAGGUCCCGACAACCAAAAAACGAAGCUUAAUUUGCCACAGAUUGCACGUAUUGCCAUUAUUGACAAUUUUCUGCACAAGCGUGACUGAACUUAGGUUGAUGUCAAAAGAGGUAAAUUAUUGGCAUGCCUGACUAUUUUGACCAUUACAUGAUUCAUAAGUUUACAUUAAUUUUGAUUUUGAGUUGAGUGAUUAAUUUUCUAUGUUUGCUUACUUUAACUGGGUGACCAAUUUCUUGUAACUAAAUGUAUGAUGUGAUGCAGGAAGCAGGGCAGGAUAUGAAAAGAGAAGCUUAUUAGAGGAAGGAUUGCCAGUAACAGAAUCCAAAGAAAAAGAAACCAUUUCGAGGCAGCAGUUGGCAGUUGGCAGUGAAUGGAGCCCCUUGAAAAAGUUCCCAAGCCGUUGCACUGCAAUUACGAUCAUCCUCGGCCUCAGGUAAUUUCUUCUCCUGCAUUUUUGUUAUUUGCUAUCAAGUGACUAUUUUAAGUAUGAUUGCAUUAAGCUGCUACUGGGAAAUUUGAGGUUUUGAGGACUGCCCAUGCUAUUGUCAGAAGCUGCGGUUCUUUUCAUCAGCCUGAACCUGGACCUGCCGCUAUGGAUAACUCAGGUUUUUUUUUUUUUUAAUCAACUGCCAUCUUUUCCACUGUUUAGAAACUCUUAAGAUUAAACUUUAGUAAAGAUGUUUUAGUUAUCCAUGUAAUCAGGCUGAGGAUACUUAGCUGCCUAUUUAGGCAAAUGUCAGAAUUUAGUUUGUUCGCUGGGAACUGGUGUGGACUGGCAAAGGAUGAUGAGAUAGUUUUUUGAGUGAGUAAAUUUUGGGAGCUUGAGUGUAUUGGGAUUUGCAAUUACAAUCAUCCUCUGCCUCAGGUGAUUUCUUCUCCUGCUCUGUCAUUGUUUGUUCUCUAAUUCAAAAGCAUAAAAUAUUUCAAUCAAUUUUUAUACCAGGAAUAUGCAAAAGUUUCUAAUAUUUUAUUUCCAUCUGUUACAAGAUCAAACUGAAGCAGAACUCAAUCAAAAGUAUGCUGCUUCUUGCGGAAAUCUUGCCUUUGUUCAGAUUAUGAAACCAUUUCCAUGCAGCAAAUUCAUCCAAAAAUUUGAAUAAGUUUCACGGUUGGACACUGUUGGCUUCUUUUUCUUCCGGGGUGCAUUUAGGUGCUAUCAAGUGACAGCUGUAAGUAUGAUUGCACUAAGCUGCCGCUGGGAAAUUUGAGGUUUUGAUGGCUGCCCAUGUUAUUUUCAAUAAACUAUUGAUGUAAGAAGCUGUGGUUCUUUUCAUCAGCUUGAACCUGAAACUGUCGCUAUGGAUAACUCAGGUUUUUGUUAUCAACUAUAUCAUCUUUUUCACUAUUUUGAAACUCUUAAGAUUAAACUUUAGUAAAGUUGUUUCAGCUAUUCAAAUGAAAAACUCAUUGAUUUGAGACUUCCUUCAUUAUUGUUUCUAAUUACAAUGCUAACGAUCCAGAUAAAAUAAUAUUUAAUCAACGAAGGUGUUGAUUGAUUUGAGACUUCCUUCAUUAAUGUAGACUUCCUUCAUUAUUGUUUCUUUUUCUUUUAUUCUAUAAAAUCUUGCAAUGAGCUUAGUGAAGCUGUUGUGCUAAUCAUGCCACUGCAUAAUUUGGCCCCUAAUGUGAGUACUCUGUUACAUUGUUCUGCAAAUUCUCCAGAAGUUAAAAUCAAUAAAUUUUCUAUUAGCUCUAGUGCUUUGACCUAAAUGCUAUUCUAUAUUCUGAUUACAAUGUUUUAACCUUUAAAUUAACUACCCCUAGAUGUUGGAUUUUCUAGAACUUCAAAAUGAUUAAUGGAGAAAGAUCCCAUUAUCGUUAUUGCUAUAAGAAAUUGAUUUAUGCAUCCAAAGAUACAUUAUAUGUUUCUGUGUCUCUAUUUAUAGAUGACACCUAAGCAUCCCAUUAUCUAUUAUUUAUUUUAUAUUUUGAAGAAUUUAAUGGGUAAUCCUAAUUGUUUGUUUAGGCAGGUAUGUGUUGUUAUCUCCUUCUAUCUUACAGUCGUACCUAAAUAGCAUAGUUUCAUCUGUGUUACCAUGUGAUGUACAUAAUUUCACAUUUGCCUCAGAUUAAGCUUAAUUUCCCACAGAAUAGAGCUGCCGCGACUGGACUUAGGUUGAUGUCCAAAGAGGUAAAUUAUUGGCAUGCCUAGAUAAUUUGGCCAUUUCCUAAUUCAUAAGUCUACAUUAAUUUUGAUUUUGAGUUGACUGAUUUCUUUUCAAG
This 19130-nucleotide long non-coding RNA is filed under the name Citrus maxima (pomelo). Its description in RNAcentral is "long non-coding RNA (CMAX_LNC001174)". Lineage: Eukaryota; Viridiplantae; Streptophyta; Magnoliopsida; Sapindales; Rutaceae. The record is from RNAcentral.